CGCGGAGUGGAGCAGUCCGGUAGCUCGUCGGGCUCAUAACCCGAAGGUCGUUGGUUCAAAUCCAGCCUCCGCAACCA
This 77-nucleotide transfer RNA is filed under the name Clostridium sp. RNAcentral's name for it is "tRNA-Met". It matches the Rfam family "tRNA". Rfam says of the family: Transfer RNA (tRNA) molecules are approximately 80 nucleotides in length. Lineage: Bacteria; Bacillati; Bacillota; Clostridia; Eubacteriales; Clostridiaceae. The record is from RNAcentral. RNAcentral also lists the same sequence under 7 other names.